This 637-nucleotide ribosomal RNA is filed under the name uncultured Gammaproteobacteria bacterium. Its description in RNAcentral is "bacterial SSU rRNA". It matches the Rfam family "Bacterial small subunit ribosomal RNA", at positions 8 to 636 of the family's 1533-position model. The record is from RNAcentral. Lineage: Bacteria; Pseudomonadati; Pseudomonadota; Gammaproteobacteria.
AGAGUUUGAUCCUGGCUCAGAUUGAACGCUAGCGGCAUGCUUAACACAUGCAAGUCGAACGGUAACAGGCCUAGCUUGCUAGGCGCUGACGAGUGGCGGACGGGUGAGUAAUGCGUAGGAAUCUACCAUAUAGUGGGGGAUAACCUAGGGAAACUUAGGCUAAUACCGCAUGUGCCUUACGGGGUAAAGCAGGGGAUCUUCGGACCUUGUGCUAUUUGAUGAGCCUACGUCGGAUUAGCUUGUUGGUGGGGUAAAGGCCUACCAAGGCGACGAUCCGUAGCUGGUCUGAGAGGAUGAUCAGCCACACUGGGACUGAGACACGGCCCAGACUCCUACGGGAGGCAGCAGUGGGGAAUAUUGGACAAUGGGCGAAAGCCUGAUCCAGCAAUGCCGCGUGUGUGAAGAAGGCCUGCGGGUUGUAAAGCACUUUCAGUAGGGAGGAAGGUCUUAAUGCUAAUACCAUUAAGAAUUGACGUUACCUACAGAAGAAGCACCGGCUAACUCUGUGCCAGCAGCCGCGGUAAUACAGAGGGUGCGAGCGUUAAUCGGAAUUACUGGGCGUAAAGCGUGCGUAGGUGGUUAGAUAAGUCAGAUGUGAAAGCCCUGGGCUUAACCUGGGAAUUGCGUUUGAUACUGU